AUGGCCACCGGAGGCGCCCCAAAGCCGGAGGAGGAGACCGUCGUCUUCCCCGAUUGGGUGAUGCUGGAACGCAUCUUCCGCAAACGGUGCCUCGACGACCUAGACGCUGCUGGUGAGGCCGUCAACAAGAACAAGACCGCUGCUCCAGUCAAGAUAGACGGCGUUCACUCCUGCUUCGUCUCCUUCACCCUCGCAGCUCCUCCAGGGUCCUCCUACUUCAACCUCCAUUGGCCGGAGAGACAAGGCUCAGACAGACUCUCUGCCUUCGUCCGGGCAACCGACAAGAACCUCGUCCUCUUCGACAUCUCGAUCCCCGACCGGAUUCGCUACAUGGACGCUCCGCCAGAUCUGUUCGUCUACACGGCCUCUGCUCCUUCCCCCUCGGUGCAGCAGCUUCCUCGGCGCAGCACAAGGCGGUUCCUGGCUCAUCAGUUCAUCACCGGCAUUCUGCAGCUCAAAGCGGAGCACUGCUACAUCGUUGCCGACCUCAAUGUCCACCCCAAGAAAAAGGGCGUUUGGGCUGAACUCUGUGUCUUCAACUCCGGCGCCAACGACUGGAGAAUCAUCACCGAGGUGCUUGCUGAUGAGCUCCCUGACCUCUGGUGGUCCGAUGAUGUGUUUGCUUUCGACGGCCGUUUCCUUUGCUGGGUGGACUACUUCUGCGGCGUCGUGCUAUGCGACUUCUCCAAAAAUGUGGACUCCCAGGUGCUCCACUUCGUGCCUUUUCCUGGAGGAAUCAAAUACCCUUUUGACGCACGGUUCCCGAGGUACUUCCCAGGGAGGUUCCGAAGUGCGUCCAUCAGCCAAGGCAUGAUCCGCUAUAUCCACAUUGACAAUGACUUUCAUGAGACUAUCCACUCCGACUGGCAAGUGAUGAUUCCUCCUAAGAGAAGCCAACGGCGGCAGCAGCAGCUUCCCCACAAAAUCACCAUUUGGACGUUGAACUCCAAGUUCGAGUGGGAGGUGCAUUGUAAGAUCAACCUGGAUUGUCUCUGGGCACAACCUCUUUACCGAGGUCUACCUCGGCGUCUUCCUGAGUUCCCAGUCAUCAGCAUGGAUGACCCGGGUGUUCUGUGCUGCCUGCUGAGGGCGAAGGAAUUUGGUGGCAAGGAGCGGAUGAUCAUGGUUGACAUGAACCAUGCGGAUCUGCAGUCAUUUACUGAUGUGAAUGUAGAAGACAAGUUCUCUAAUACCACCCAACUUCCAACUGUCUUCUCCAAAUACCUUCAAAAGGCCAACAGGAUUCUCAGAGAACUUCUUUCUUAA
RNAcentral lists this ribosomal RNA (1266 nucleotides) under Triticum aestivum (bread wheat). RNAcentral describes it as "partial small subunit ribosomal RNA". The record is from RNAcentral. Lineage: Eukaryota; Viridiplantae; Streptophyta; Magnoliopsida; Poales; Poaceae.